UACGGAGGGUGCGGGCGUUGUCCGGAAUCAUUGGGCGUAAAGGGCGCGUAGGUGGCCACUUCAAGCGUGCGGUGAAAGUCGGGGGCUCAACCCCUGAUCGGCCGUGCGAACUGGGGGGCUGGAGCACUGUAGAGGCAGGCGGAAUUCCGGGUGUAGCGGUGGAAUGCGUAGAGAUCCGGAAGAACACCGGUGGCGAAGGCGGCCUGCUGGGCAGUUUUGCUGACACUGAGGCGCGACAGCGUGGGGAGCAAACAGG
RNAcentral lists this ribosomal RNA (256 nucleotides) under uncultured bacterium. RNAcentral describes it as "partial 16S ribosomal RNA". It matches the Rfam family "Bacterial small subunit ribosomal RNA", at positions 524 to 776 of the family's 1533-position model. The record is from RNAcentral.